CAAAAUUUGAGCUAUACAAUAAAAUGAAUUACAGAAUAAAGCACAGUAAUUGAUUAGAAUGAUUAGAGUUAUUAAAGUACCUGUACAAAAUUAUAAACAAUGUUAUAGAUAACAUAUUAAGUCAUUUUGAAGCAACUGAGACCUACAGAAAAUACAUUUCUGAAUCAAUGGGUAAACCUAGGACUAAGAGAGACAACUGUUGGUCAAAUAUUUAUUUUUCUAGUUAUCAAACUUCGAUAAUAUGUCUUGGAGUUUUAUUGGUUCUUAAAAAAGUGAUUUAAAAUAUUUUUGAAAUUCAAACAAAUCUGCUGAUGAAAUAAUAUAAAAAAUGACAUAUCAUCAGGUUACUUUUUUUUGGUUUACUCAUAAUUUUAAGACCGAUGUUGUGAUCUGCUUUCUUUAGAGAAGGCCAUUCUAAACGAAGAUAAAAAUCAUCUUCAAUGGCGUUUUAACAUAGCUUUUCGAAUGUGCAUAAGAGAAAAAAUAUAUUAUAUAUUUUAGUGUAUAUAUGGAUU
This 515-nucleotide long non-coding RNA is filed under the name Mytilus galloprovincialis (Mediterranean mussel). Lineage: Eukaryota; Metazoa; Mollusca; Bivalvia; Mytilida; Mytilidae. The record is from RNAcentral.